UACAGGUAGCACAAGUGGUGUCCACGAAUAUUGAGUCUAAAGCGCCCGUAGCCGGCCUCGCACGUCUUCUGUGAAAUCUCACGGCCUAACCGUGAGGCGCGCAGGAGAUACGACGGGGCUUGGGAGUGGGGGAGGUCAGAGGUACUAUAGGGGGAGGAGUAAAAUCCUGUAAUCCUUGUAGGACCCUCGGUGGCGAAGGCGUCUGACCAAAACACAUCCGACGGUGAGGGACGAAGGCUAGGGGAGCGAACCG
Molecule: ribosomal RNA, 253 nt
Filed under: uncultured archaeon
Lineage: Archaea
Description: partial 16S ribosomal RNA
Rfam family: Archaeal small subunit ribosomal RNA
Source: RNAcentral